This is a long non-coding RNA of Aethalodelphis obliquidens (Pacific white-sided dolphin), 753 nucleotides long. RefSeq lists it as uncharacterized. The record is from RefSeq and is a predicted model, not a curated record. The transcript has 3 exons. Lineage: Eukaryota; Metazoa; Chordata; Mammalia; Artiodactyla; Delphinidae.
CCGGCGGUGAGACCCCGGCGCGGGGCCCAAUGGGGGACGGCCGCGGCGGGCGAGGCGGGACUUCCGGCAGGGUCACGAAGGGGGCGGGCGCGCUGGGGGCCCUGGGGGGCGCUGAGGGAGCGAGUCUGAGCGUCUGGGCUCUCGCAGAGAGUUAGCAUCUGGAGUGUGAGAGCGGCAGGGCGUUCGGGUCCUCUGCGCGCCUGACCCGCUCCUCCCGCUGCGAGUGAACAGGCCGGAUCAGGGCUGAGCCAGGAACGAAAUCCAGCUCGCGCUCCGGGCUUCCACCCGCCUUCCUCGCCGCGGCUCGUUGCCACGCCUCUUCUCUUCUCCAUCUCUGAUUUUGUUUCUUUAGGGAGAUGAGAAUUUCUGCCUCACGAGAUUGUUACGAGGAUGAAAUCUACGUGAUGGCGCGUUGUAAACGGUACAACGCUAGGGAAAGGACAAGGUGGCACUUGAAACUCGGAGUGCUGUUGGGCAGGUCUGAAGGUCCCGCCCCCUCCGCCUCCGCCCUCACGUCUCAGAAGUGAGAAAGGGCCUUAUCCACGUUAUAUGCAGCAGUCCUCCAGGAACAAGGAGCUGUAAUCUUGCUGAGCUAUGGAUCCAGAAACAGAGGCAGUCUGGAGUUUUUAACUUAAAAGUCACUGGCAAUCACCAUUCUACUGUCUGUGUUUAAGAUUUGACUACUCGGGCUUCCCUGGUGGCGCAGUGGUUGACAGUCUGCCUGUCGAUGCAGGCGACGCAGGUUCGUGCCCG